This 433-nucleotide ribosomal RNA is filed under the name uncultured Oscillospiraceae bacterium. Its description in RNAcentral is "bacterial SSU rRNA". It matches the Rfam family "Bacterial small subunit ribosomal RNA", at positions 341 to 792 of the family's 1533-position model. Lineage: Bacteria; Bacillati; Bacillota; Clostridia; Eubacteriales; Oscillospiraceae. The record is from RNAcentral.
ACGGGAGGCAGCAGUGGGGAAUAUUGCACAAUGGGGGAAACCCUGAUGCAGCGACGCCGCGUGAAGGAAGAAGGUAUUCGUAUUGUAAACUUCUGUCGCAGAGGACGAUAAUGACGGUACUCUGUAAGAAAGCACCGGCUAACUACGUGCCAGCAGCCGCGGUAAAACGUAGGGUGCAAGCGUUGUCCGGAAUUACUGGGUGUAAAGGGAGCGCAGGCGGUUCUGCAAGUUGGAUGUCAAAUCUACGGGCUUAACCCGUAUCCGCAUUCAAAACUGUAGGACUUGAGUGAAGUAGAGGUAGGCGGAAUUUCCGGUGUAGCGGUGGAAUGCGUAGAUAUCGGAAGGAACACCAGUGGCGAAGGCGGCCUACUGGGCUUUUACUGACGCUGAGGCUCGAAAGCAUGGGUAGCAAACAGGAUUAGAUACCCUGGUA